GAUGAACGCUGGCGGCGUGCCUAAUACAUGCAAGUCGAGCGAACGGACGAGAAGCUUGCUUCUCUGAUGUUAGCGGCGGACGGGUGAGUAACACGUGGAUAACCUACCUAUAAGACUGGGAUAACUUCGGGAAACCGGAGCUAAUACCGGCUAAUAUUUUGAACCGCAUGGUUCAAAAGUGAAAGACGGUCUUGCUUUCACUUAUAGAUGGAUCCGCGCUGCAUUAGCUAGUUGGUAAGGUAACGGCUUACCAAGGCAACGAUGCAUAGCCGACCUGAGAGGGUGAUCGGCCACACUGGAACUGAGACACGGUCCAGACUCCUACGGGAGGCAGCAGUAGGGAAUCUUCCGCAAUGGGCGAAAGCCUGACGGAGCAACGCCGCGUGAGUGAUGAAGGUCUUCGGAUCGUAAAACUCUGUUAUGAGGGAAGAACAUAUGUGUAAGUAACUGUGCACAUCUUGACGGUACCUAAUCAGAAAGCCACGGCUAACUACGUG
Molecule: ribosomal RNA, 497 nt
Filed under: uncultured bacterium
Lineage: Bacteria
Description: partial 16S ribosomal RNA
Rfam family: Bacterial small subunit ribosomal RNA
Source: RNAcentral